GAUGAACGCUGGCGGCGUGCCUAAUACAUGCAAGUCGAGCGAACAGAUAAGGAGCUUGCUCCUUUGACGUUAGCGGCGGACAGGUGAGUAACACGUGGGUAACCUAUCUAUAAGACUGGAAUAACUCCGGGAAACCGGAGCUAAUACCGGAUAACAUGUUGAACCGCAUGGUUCUACAGUGAAAGGCGGCUUUGCUGUCACUUAUAGAUGGAUCCGCGCCGCAUUAGCUAGUUGGUGAGGUAACGGCUCACCAAGGCAACGAUGCGUAGCCGACCUGAGAGGGUGAUCGGCCACACUGGAACUGAGACACGGUCCAGACUCCUACGGGAGGCAGCAGUAGGGAAUCUUCCGCAAUGGGCGAAAGCCUGACGGAGCAACGCCGCGUGAGUGAUGAAGGUCUUCGGAUCGUAAAACUCUGUUAUUAGGGAAGAACAAAUGCGUAAGUAACUAUGCACGUCUUGACGGUACCUAAUCAGAAAGCCACGGCUAACUACGUG
Molecule: ribosomal RNA, 497 nt
Filed under: uncultured bacterium
Lineage: Bacteria
Description: partial 16S ribosomal RNA
Rfam family: Bacterial small subunit ribosomal RNA
Source: RNAcentral